UAAAAAUUAAGAAUGUGACCGUUUCAUGUUAUCGUACAUGUCAACUUUAAGUUUUUAAUUUGUUUCUGCGAUAAGCAUAACGUAAGCGUACUCUGAUUGUGUUUUUUGCAUAAGCAUAUCCAAGCCUGAUUUCGAAUUUUCACUUGUUUCUAAACAAACAUAAAUUUGAUUCACAGUCAAGAAAAUGUUUCCUAUAUUAACAACAGUGUCACAAUGUAAUCCACUGCACUUUUUUUAACAUUAAAUGACAUCACCUUAUAAGUGGGUGUAAUAUUUUUAACAAAAACGUUUGUGCACUGUGUUUCCUGUUUAACUCUUUGUAAAUAUAUUUUUGUUUACAAAUAUAAGGAUUAAACAAACAAUAAUUAUUUGAAGCCGCUUACUAAGUAAUGAUUUAUUCGCCAUAUACUUUUAUUCACCAUAAACAGAAAGUUUUAUCAAAACAUCAUAAGAGGAUGUCGAUAAAAAAUGACGUGAUGGACGUUGUUUACGUUUACUCUUUCCGUCAUAAAACACGCGUCAGUAUAUGACGGAAUAUAAUUCUGUCGAAAGUUUAAUCGGUGCAGUUUCGAUGGUUUUACGAAAUGCAUCGGAUUGUUCUUCGAAAACAUUUCGCAAAUAAAAAUUGAUGAACUCGCAUGUUUUUGAAAUAUAAAUUCAAGACAUCAACAAUCUCAAGAAGGUAUAUAAGUAUUUUAUUCAAACCGAGAGAAAAUCUUCGACAAGACGAAUGAUGUGGUUUUCAAAAAGACAUUGCUUGUGUUUUGACAUACGCACAGCCGUCAUGUUAGUAGCGAUGAUAUCGUUCGUAUUUUCGUGUUUUAAUGUGGCCACUUCCUGUAAGAACAUGAACAGGAGUUUAGUUUUUCAAGUGAAUUUGAUUUUCCCAUGUAGAUAAUAAGCAAGCAACAAGUAAGCAAUAGUUCAGCCUAUAAAACACAUAAACAAGUAGCAUUGAUAAUUCAGCCAAAAUAUUGUAUUGCAAAUGUGUAGUUAACAGUUUCGUUCCUUUUAUUUUUCGCAUUCUAAUGUGGAUAGCACUUUGUUCGAAAAAAUUCUUAGAUAGAGAUUAACUACAGAAGAGAAGUGGUGGACUAUAUUCUGUUCUUGAAAGAAAAAUUUGCAUUUACGUUUGUGCUAACUAAUUAAAACAUCUCAAACUAGCGUUCUGACUUAAUUUAUUAUAUUAUUCCAGGUGCUAUCCCAAGUUCAUCCAGACUCGGUGCAAGUUGUCUUCAUUACAAUAAGCACUCAACACAUCAAUUUGGACACUUUUCAUGUGUAUGUCAUUUUUACAUAUAUCAAAUUGAGUUUUUACAUUUUCAACCUACUCACAAGCACGUCCUUGCUUAUAUGCACAGUGACAAAUCUUUACGCAAAA
RNA transcript from Hydractinia symbiolongicarpus, 1381 nucleotides. RefSeq lists it as uncharacterized. The transcript has 3 exons. The record is from RefSeq and is a predicted model, not a curated record. Lineage: Eukaryota; Metazoa; Cnidaria; Hydrozoa; Anthoathecata; Hydractiniidae.